AGGGUGCAAGCGUUAAUCGCGGAUUCUGGGCGUAAAGGGUGCGCAGGCGGUUAUAUAAGACAGAUGUGAAAUCCCCGGGCUCAACCUGAGAACUGCGUUUGUGACUGUAUGACUAGAGUACGGUAGAGAGGGGUGGAAUUCCUGGUGUAGCAGUGAAAUGCGUAGAUAUCAGGAGGAACAUCGAUGGCGAAGGCAGCCCCUUGGACCUGUACUGACGCUCAUGCACGAAAGCGUGGGGAGCAAACAGGAUUAGAUACCCUGGUAGUCCACGCCCUAAACGAUGAUCACUAGUUGUUCGGAAAGGUGACUUUCUGAGUAACGUAGCUAACGCGUGAAGUGAUCCGCCUGGGGAGUACGGUCGCAAGAUUAAAACUCAAAGGAAUUGACGGGGACCCGCACAAGCGGUGGAUGAUGUGGAUUAAUUCGAUGCAACGCGAAAAACCUUACCUACCCUUGACAUGCCUGGAAGAUCGCAGAGAUGUGAUUGUGCCUUCGGGAA
RNAcentral lists this ribosomal RNA (499 nucleotides) under uncultured Pseudomonadota bacterium. RNAcentral describes it as "bacterial SSU rRNA". It matches the Rfam family "Bacterial small subunit ribosomal RNA", at positions 529 to 1026 of the family's 1533-position model. The record is from RNAcentral. Lineage: Bacteria; Pseudomonadati; Pseudomonadota.